RNAcentral lists this ribosomal RNA (253 nucleotides) under uncultured bacterium. RNAcentral's name for it is "partial 16S ribosomal RNA". It matches the Rfam family "Bacterial small subunit ribosomal RNA", at positions 524 to 777 of the family's 1533-position model. The record is from RNAcentral.
UACGGAGGGUGCGAGCGUUGUCCGGAAUCACUGGGCGUAAAGGGCGCGUAGGUGGCGCGACAAGUCAACGGUGAAAGCUCGGCGCUCAACGCCGAGUCGGCCGUCGAUACUGUUGGGCUUGAGCACUGUAGAGGCUAAUGGAAUUCCGGGUGUAGCGGUGGAAUGCGUAGAGAUCCGGAAGAACACCGGUGGCGAAGGCGGUUAGCUGGGCAGUGCUGACACUGAGGCGCGACAGCGUGGGGAGCAAACAGGG